Molecule: ribosomal RNA, 388 nt
Filed under: uncultured bacterium
Lineage: Bacteria
Description: bacterial SSU rRNA
Rfam family: Bacterial small subunit ribosomal RNA
Source: RNAcentral
AUUGAACGCUGGCGGCAUGCUUUACACAUGCAAGUCGAACGGUAACAGGGAGCUUGCUCCGCUGACGAGUGGCGAACGGGUGAGUAAUGUAUCGGAACGUACCUUUCAGUGGGGGGAUAACGUAGCGAAAGUUACGCUAAUACCGCAUAUUCUGUGAGCAGGAAAGCAGGGGAUCGCAAGACCUUGCGCUGAUUGAGCGGCCGAUAUCAGAUUAGCUAGUUGGUGAGGUAAAGGCUCACCAAGGCGACGAUCUGUAGCGGGUCUGAGAGGAUGAUCCGCCACACUGGAACUGAGACACGGUCCAGACUCCUACGGGAGGCAGCAGUGGGGAAUUUUGGACAAUGGGCGCAAGCCUGAUCCAGCCAUGCCGCGUGAGUGAAGAAGGCCU